AACAUUAAAUUUCUGCAAGGCUAUGGCUUGACUGAGACGGCGGCUAUAGUUGCUUCUAUGUUUACUAAAGAGGAGACUGAGAGGUACGGAUCCUCUGGUUUGCUUGCUCCGAACGUGGAUGGUAAGAUUGUGGAUCCGGAUACGGGUCGGGUCUUGGGGGUGCAUUGAACCGGGGAGCUCUGCCUCCAGAGUCCUACCGUGAUGAAAGAUUAAAGGAGCUUAUCAAAUGCAAUCGUUAUCAGGUAAUAAACAAAAAUCUUUCUUAAUGUGUGGAUCAUCUUUUGUAAAGUUGGUGUGUUUUGGUAAUGGUUUAAAAUGUUUGUUAGGUUGCUCCAGCUGAGCUUGAAGCAUUGUUGCUUGCUCAUCCAGAGAUUGCUGAUGCAGCAGUAAUACCGCAAGGACUUUUUCUUUUAACAUGAUAGAGAUUGCUAAAUUCUUCUCUUUUUAAUGACCUUUUUUUUCUGUAGCUCUUUACUUUUUAUUUCUUAUGUUUUUUGAAGCAUCCCUGACUUGAAAGCUGGGAAAUAUCCAAUGGCAUAUAUCGUAAGAACAGCUGGAAGUAACUUAUCCGAAAAAUCCCUCUGGCAAAAUUUUAAGAAGAGAACUUAUAAAGCUCACAAACUCGAAGCUCUAGCAAACAACUCUAUCUUACACUUCACUGUUAGUUAACUCAUUUAUUUGGUUAACCGAUUAUUUAUUUCUCUUAUAGAAAUCUCUUUCAAAACUGAAUAUUGAUUUUGCUCAGCCUGUGAGUUCUCUCCUCUCCCUGUGUCGACGUGUUCCUCUUCUUGGUGUCUCUGUUUCUCAUAUCUGCUAUUGUUGAUUUUGUCUAGAAGCAGCAGGUCUAUUCUAAGUCGCUGCGUCCGAGUUUCGUUACGGUCCGAGCCAUGUCAGAGUCUCAGACAGCUCUAAAGAAUCAGCCACAGUCCUCGGCCUCCUCUGGAAAGAAGCAAGCUUUGAUAUCUUUAUCUGACAAGUAGGAUUUAGCUACUCUUGGCAACGGUCUUCAAGAGUAGGAACGCCUCUACCUUGGAGAAUGCUGGAGUCUCUGUCACUUCCAAAGUGGAGACGCUUACUCAUUUCCCUGAAAUGGCA
Brassica rapa (field mustard) is the source of this 1095-nucleotide long non-coding RNA. RefSeq lists it as uncharacterized. Lineage: Eukaryota; Viridiplantae; Streptophyta; Magnoliopsida; Brassicales; Brassicaceae. The record is from RefSeq and is a predicted model, not a curated record.